GGCAAUAGGGAAACCGAGUCUGAUAAGGGCGAUUAGUUGCUGGGCGUAGACCCGAAACCAAGUGAUCUAUCCAUGGCCAGGAUGAAGGUGCGGUAACACGCACUGGAGGUCCGAACCCACUAACGUUGAAAAGUUAGGGGAUGAGCUGUGGAUAGGGGUGAAAGGCUAAACAAACUUGGAAAUAGCUGGUUCUCUCCGAAAACUAUUUAGGUAGUGCCUCAAGUAUCACCGACGGGGGUAGAGCACUGUUAUGGCUAGGGGGUCAUCGCGGCUUACCAAACCAUUGCAAACUCCGAAUACCGUCGAGUGCGAGCUUGGGAGACAGACAUCGGGUGCUAACGUCCGGUGUCGAAAGGGAAACAACCCAGACCGCCGAUUAAGGUCCCAAAGACAUAGUUAAGUGGGAAACGAGGUGGGAAGGCUCAGACAGCCAGGAGGUUGGCUUAGAAGCAGCCAUCCUUUAAAGAAAGCGUAAUAGCUCACUGGUCGAGUCGUCCUGCGCGGAAGAUGUAACGGGAC
Molecule: ribosomal RNA, 519 nt
Filed under: uncultured bacterium
Lineage: Bacteria
Description: bacterial LSU rRNA
Rfam family: Bacterial large subunit ribosomal RNA
Source: RNAcentral